CAAUAGCGUAUAUUAAAGUUGUUGCAGUUAAAAAGCUCGUAGUUGGAUUUGUGGCGUACGGUGUGUUCCGGGCACUUGUUGUCUGAGUAACCUGCUGUUGCCAUCCUUGGGUGGAACCUGUGUGGCAUUAGGUUGUCGUGCAGGGGAUGCCCAUCAUUUACUGUGAAAAAAUUAGAGUGUUCAAAGCAGGCUUAUGCCGUUGAAUAUAUUAGCAUGGAAUAAUGAGAUAGGACUUUUUUGCUAUUUUGUUGGUUUGCGCAAAGAGGUAAUGAUUAAUAGGGACAGUUGUGGGUAUUCGUAUUCCAUUGUCAGAGGUGAAAUUCUUGGAUUUUUGGAAGACGAACUACUGCGAAAGCAUUUACCAAGGAUGUUUUCAUUAA
RNAcentral lists this ribosomal RNA (380 nucleotides) under uncultured eukaryote. RNAcentral's name for it is "partial 18S ribosomal RNA". It matches the Rfam family "Eukaryotic small subunit ribosomal RNA", at positions 592 to 976 of the family's 1831-position model. The record is from RNAcentral.